This 437-nucleotide ribosomal RNA is filed under the name uncultured soil bacterium. RNAcentral describes it as "bacterial SSU rRNA". It matches the Rfam family "Bacterial small subunit ribosomal RNA", at positions 26 to 517 of the family's 1533-position model. The record is from RNAcentral.
AGAGCGAACGCUGGCGGCAGGCUUAACACAUGCAAGUCGAACGAACUCUUCGGAGUUAGUGGCGGACGGGUGAGUAACACGUGGGAACGUGCCUUUUGGUUCGGAAUAGCUCCUGGAAACGGGUGGUAAUGCCGAAUGUGCCCUUCGGGGGAAAGAUUUAUCGCCAUUAGAGCGGCCCGCGUCUGAUUAGCUAGUUGGUGAGGUAAAGGCUCACCAAGGCUACGAUCAGUAGCUGGUCUGAGAGGAUGACCAGCCACAUUGGGACUGAGACACGGCCCAAACUCCUACGGGAGGCAGCAGUGGGAAUCUGCGCAAUGGGCGAAAGCCUGACGCAGCCAUGCCGCGUGUAUGAUGAAGGUCUUAGGAUUGUAAAUCUUUCACCGGUGAAGAUAAUGACUGUAGCGGAGAAGAAGCCCGAUAACUCGUGCCAGCAGCCG